Non-coding RNA from Zootermopsis nevadensis, 2201 nucleotides. The record is from RefSeq and is a predicted model, not a curated record. Lineage: Eukaryota; Metazoa; Arthropoda; Insecta; Blattodea; Termopsidae.
GGAGGAUGUGAGGACGAUGGGAGUGAAGGGAUGGAGAAGAAUUGUGAAUAAUGGGACAGAAUGGAAAAAAUUCAUCGAACAAGCUAAGACCCACACAGGGUUAUAACGCUACUAGAAGACGUUAUUCAGUGUUGUGAAGAAUUCUUGAUUAUACAGAUUUGCACUAACUGAAAAACAGAAAUAGUGUUUAUGGACUAUCAGAAGACUCCGUAGAAGACUAUUUAGAUGUCCCUUCUUCCAGAGGCUUUAGUUCCAGCAGAAGCUCUAUUAAGUUCCGACUUUCUUUUUUCAUCCGCUGUUCACAUUCAGCCACUUUCUUACGCCAAUAAUCGUAUUUAAGCUACAAUAUACAACAAAAUAAGAGGACAUAAAAUAAUAAGGCAGAUAAAACUGCAUACACAUGUUCGAUAGGAAAUUGUUAGCAAAUGAUUACUUGUCACCUGAGCUGGAAUAGCUACGUUAAGUAAUUAACUUUGUGGAGAAAUCCUAGGCCAGUGCGGAAGUUAAUUACGUGCAUUUUAUACAACACAAAUGCAUGCAGAAAAUGGAAGUUUCAGUGCUAAGUAAAGAACAAAUUAUAUACACAAUUUGUGUGACAACCAUUCAACAUAUCAAAGACAAGUGAACAUUUGCAGGUUGAACAGCGCCAUCAUAUUGUUCUUUGAACUCUAUUCACUUCAUUUAGCUAAUUGUUUAAACUUCCUAAUUAAUACAUCUUGUAAUUAUUCGGUAUUAAACAGAAAUAAGAACUAUGUAGGAAUUAAAAGUCAGAUAACCAGCUUAAAUUAAAACAUAAGACUACAAUAUUUGCUUACAUAAUAUUUAUAUUUUAUCUGUAACUUACCAAAAGACCUUCAUAUUUAGCUCUUGCAAGUGCUGCGUCACUUUCAAGUGAAAGAGAUCGAUCAAAAAGAAAAUUCAAUCCACACGUGGCGUCAUCAAUAUUUUUAAUUGCGUCAAAGUGAGCUCUUUUAUUUUUUUCUGAAAUAGAUCACAUUAUUACCACUAAAUUACUGGUGUUUUGAUCUUUCCUUAUAGUAAAAGACAGCCAUCUUCAGAAUCAACACAGCGGAAACUUCAAAUCCUACUUAAAAAAUUCUUAUUUCUGUGACAACAUAAUUCUGAUUUAUGUUGUCACAGAUGCUUAAAGUUCAUUGGUAAAAAAAGAAUAUACUUGUACCACAUGCAUUUAAAGAUCCUGAGAUGUCUUACUCUGAGUAGAACGCAUGUGUUUAACGAUCUCUUGUAAUCGUUUCAAUUCCUCAUCACUGGACGCAAUUAGUUCCUUGAUUCUUGAAUCCUGUACGUCAAUGAUAAUUUUAGAAUCAGCAGUAAGUUCACGAGCAUGGCAGAUCUGUUCAAAUAUAUCCCAGAUAUUGUGGAAGAGCAAAAGCUUUAUGACAGGAAUUUCAUUACAGGGUUACUGCAGAAUGUAUUUACAUUGCUGUAAAUACCUCAAAUAUUACACUCUAAACUACGUCUUCCAGUUUUGGUUUCAUAUGACAAAUGAUAUAUACAUAUGUAUCACCCAGAAAUUUGCAUUAAUUCUGAAUAUGAAGAAGAAAUGCUAAACAUUUGACUGCAAAGUGCAGUGGGUUUACCACAAGAAUUACUUUUUGCACGAUAGAUACAAUAGUUGACUAUAUGGUUGCAGUCUGUUUACAACAAAAUUAGAAUCCUUAACAAAGCAGAAUAAAAUGUAUUAUAAAGUACACAUACCUUCUUUAGUUCACGGCUCUCUUUUGCCUCGAUUUCUUUAUCAAGAUUCUUAUGAUUCUUACCAAUAUUGGUGAAUUCUUUUACUUGUUCUUCAAGGCACGUAUGAAAUUCUCCCUUACCUUCGCUGCCAACAUUUUUCUGAAAAGAGUGAAAACUUUAAAGCUAUGCAAAAGCAAAAACCAAAUGUAUUUGAUUUUGUCAGCAAACUAAUAAUUGAAGAUGGCUAUCUUCUGGGUUGCAGACAUUAUGAAGUAUGGUAGAAAUUCACUAACGUUUUAGAGUUGCCUGCUGCCUCCAUCAUCAGGGCGUCAAUCUGAUGAUGAAGACCAACAGGGACCUACUACACUACAGAGUACCAUAACUCAGAAUACAGCUAUCUUCAUAUUCACUGCUGUAAGGACCUAAAAUCCCAUUCAGCUAGUUUAACAAAUUAGAAGAAUGAGUGGAAAUAAAGUCUCAAUAAAACAUGUUGUGAAAAAACA